Long non-coding RNA from Humulus lupulus (European hop), 749 nucleotides. RefSeq lists it as uncharacterized. The transcript has 4 exons. Lineage: Eukaryota; Viridiplantae; Streptophyta; Magnoliopsida; Rosales; Cannabaceae. The record is from RefSeq and is a predicted model, not a curated record.
UAUGUUUGAUUUUUCAGAAAUUGGAAAAGCACAGGUUGUUUUACACAUGUUUUCUUUUACCAUUAAUGCAUGCUAAUUAUUGUUUGAUUAUUAUGUUAUGUGGUGCGGUGAAUACUUUUUACGAUCAAAACAAAUUACUUGGGUCCUUUAAUAUUAUUAUUAUUUAUGCUAUAAUUUUUUUUUUGUCUUUCUUUUUUUCAAGGAAUAUUACUAUGCCUGAAAAUGAGCAAAGUCAGAACUGAAACAGCUUCUUCAGAGCUUUGGAAGGUUGCGGGUUUAGCUGUUGUUUGUGUUAUAUGUUUCACCUCUAAUGCUUUUGUGGCUUUGUUAACUGACAUUCCUGCGGUGUGUUUUGCUUUAAUGGGCAUUGGCAGCUCAUUUCAUGCUCAAGAAACUGCUGUGAGUGGGUAAUUAGAGAGUCGAGUGUGUGGAGUUUUGUUGUCUCAGUUCACGUUUUGGUGGCAUGAUAGACAUGGAAUCUGUCGAGGACGUGGCUAAUAUUUCUAAUGUGUCUGGGAUUACUACCCAUUCUUUGCAACUGUACAGUCAUUGCUGACCACUAGACCGUCUCCCUGCAACUGUACAGUCAUUGCAACUGUUGUUUAUUUCUUUGUGUUGAAAGUAGUAACUUUUAACUAUGUUGAAUAUUUAAGACUCCUUGAAUACUUAAAGAACAUUUUGUUGUUGAUGACAGUGUUGAAUGUUUUAAACUAAUUUGUGGAUUGUUAAUACAAUGUUGAAUGUUUUUA